Molecule: ribosomal RNA, 403 nt
Filed under: bacterium
Lineage: Bacteria
Description: partial 16S ribosomal RNA
Rfam family: Bacterial small subunit ribosomal RNA
Source: RNAcentral
UGGGGAAUAUUGCACAAUGGGGGAAACCCUGAUGCAGCGACGCCGCGUGGACGAAGAAGGUAUUCGUAUCGUAAAGUUCUGUCCUAUGGGAAGAUAAUGACAGUACCAUAGAAGAAAGCUCCGGCUAAAUACGUGCCAGCAGCCGCGGUAAUACGUAUGGAGCGAGCGUUGUCCGGAAUUAUUGGGCGUAAAGGGUACGCAGGCGGUUUAAUAAGUCGAAUGUUAAAGAUCGGGGCUCAACCCCGCAAAGCAUUGGAAACUGAUAAACUUGAGUAGUGGAGAGGAAAGUGGAAUUCCUAGUGUAGUGGUGAAAUACGUAGAUAUUAGGAGGAAUACCAGUAGCGAAGGCGACUUUCUGGACACAAACUGACGCUGAGGUACGAAAGCGUGGGGAGCAAACAGG